UUUGACACUGUACGGGGAAGGUUGAGAACCUUCGAGUAAGGUUCGAGUCGAGCGAUAGCGAGACAACGUUGCCGCAGGCAACGGCCCGAAGGGUGAGGCGCGAAGCGACGAAUAAUCCUUCCCCCUGUCACUA
RNAcentral lists this small RNA (133 nucleotides) under Enterobacteriaceae bacterium 4M9. Its description in RNAcentral is "RtT sRNA". It matches the Rfam family "RtT RNA". From Rfam's summary of the family: This family represents a bacterial cis-regulatory element known as RtT RNA. The exact function of RtT is unknown although it is thought that it may be involved in changing the cellular response in relation to amino acid starvation. The record is from RNAcentral. Lineage: Bacteria; Pseudomonadati; Pseudomonadota; Gammaproteobacteria; Enterobacterales; Enterobacteriaceae.